Molecule: ribosomal RNA, 522 nt
Filed under: uncultured bacterium
Lineage: Bacteria
Description: bacterial SSU rRNA
Rfam family: Bacterial small subunit ribosomal RNA
Source: RNAcentral
AGAGUUUGAUCAUGGCUCAGGAUCAACGCUGGCGGNCGUGCCUAAUGCAUGCAAGUCGAGCGCGGACCCUUUCGGGGGUNCUGCGCGGCGGACGGGUGCGUAACACGUGGGCAACCUGCCCUGGGGUGGGGGAUAGCCGUGGGAAACCGCGGGUAAUUCCGCAUACGUUCGGGUCUCGCCGGGAGACCGCGAAGAAAGGGAGCAAUCCCGCCCGAGGAGGGGCCUGCGGCCGAUUAGCUGGUUGGUGGGGUAACGGCUUACCAAGGCGAUGAUCGGUAGCUAGUCUGAGAGGACGGCCAGCCACACGGGGACUGAGACACGGCCCCGACUCCUACGGGAGGCAGCAGCAAGGAAUCUUCCGCAAUGGGGGUAACCCUGACGGAGCAACGCCGCGUGGGGGAUGACGCCCUUCGGGGUGUAAACCCCUUUUCUGCGGGAAGAAGGUGGGGCAACCCACUUGACGGUACUACAGGAAGAAGGACCGGCUAACUACGUGCUAGUANCCGCGGUAAUACAAGGGCG